This is a long non-coding RNA of Acanthopagrus latus (yellowfin seabream), 164 nucleotides long. RefSeq lists it as uncharacterized. The record is from RefSeq and is a predicted model, not a curated record. The transcript has 3 exons. NCBI's taxonomy places the organism in Eukaryota, Metazoa, Chordata, Actinopteri, Spariformes, Sparidae.
UGAACCAAAACGAAACUCGCGACUCGCAUGAAUGUGUAGAAGGCGGUGAAAUGAAACCUCCAUGACAACACGCAGCUGCAGAUGGACUUCUGUGCACGACAGAGGAGGAUAUCAUGCAAAUACAUGUGAUCACUAAUAAAGUGUGUUACAUACACCAACGGGAG